GGCGGACGGGUGAGUAAUGCCUAGGAAUCUGCCUGGUAGUGGGGGAUAACGCUCGGAAACGGACGCUAAUACCGCAUACGUCCUACGGGAGAAAGCGGGGGACCUUCGGACCUUGCGCUAUCAGAUGAGCCUAGGUCGGAUUAGCUAGUUGGUGAGGUAAUGGCUCACCAAGGCGACGAUCCGUAACUGGUCUGAGAGGAUGAUCAGUCACACUGGAACUGAGACACGGUCCAGACUCCUACGGGAGGCAGCAGUGGGGAAUAUUGGACAAUGGGCGAAAGCCUGAUCCAGCCAUGCCGCGUGUGUGAAGAAGGUCUUCGGAUUGUAAAGCACUUUAAGUUGGGAGGAAGGGNAGUUACCUAAUACUCUUCUGUUUUGACGUUACCGACAGAAUAAGCACCGGCUAACUCUGUGCCAGCAGCCGCGGUAAUACAGAGGGUGCAAGCGUUAAUCGGAAUUACUGGGCGUAAAGCGCGCGUAGGUGGUUCGUUAAGUUGGAUGUGAAAUCCCCGGGCUCAACCUGGGAACUGCAUCCAAAACUGGCGAGCUAGAGUAUGGUAGAGGGUGGUGGAAUUUCCUGUGUAGCGGUGAAAUGCGUAGAUAUAGGAAGGAACACCAG
RNAcentral lists this ribosomal RNA (619 nucleotides) under Pseudomonas lini. Its description in RNAcentral is "bacterial SSU rRNA". It matches the Rfam family "Bacterial small subunit ribosomal RNA", at positions 97 to 712 of the family's 1533-position model. Lineage: Bacteria; Pseudomonadati; Pseudomonadota; Gammaproteobacteria; Pseudomonadales; Pseudomonadaceae. The record is from RNAcentral.